This 429-nucleotide ribosomal RNA is filed under the name uncultured bacterium. RNAcentral describes it as "bacterial SSU rRNA". It matches the Rfam family "Bacterial small subunit ribosomal RNA", at positions 355 to 776 of the family's 1533-position model. The record is from RNAcentral.
UGGGGAAUUUUGGACAAUGGGCGCAAGCCUGAUCCAGCCAUGCCGCGUGCGGGAAGAAGGCCUUCGGGUUGUAAACCGCUUUUGUCAGGGAAGAAAUCCUCUGAGUUAAUACCUCGGGGGGAUGACGGUACCUGAAGAAUAAGCACCGGCUAACUACGUGCCAGCAGCCGCGGUAAUACGUAGGGUGCAAGCGUUAAUCGGAAUUACUGGGCGUAAAGCGUGCGCAGGCGGUUGUGCAAGACAGGUGUGAAAUCCCCGGGCUUAACCUGGGAACUGCACUUGUGACUGCACAGCUGGAGUGCGGCAGAGGGGGAUGGAAUUCCGCGUGUAGCAGUGAAAUGCGUAGAUAUGCGGAGGAACACCGAUGGCGAAGGCAAUCCCCUGGGCCUGCACUGACGCUCAUGCACGAAAGCGUGGGGAGCAAACAGG